Molecule: non-coding RNA, 1163 nt
Organism: Triticum urartu
Lineage: Eukaryota; Viridiplantae; Streptophyta; Magnoliopsida; Poales; Poaceae
Source: RefSeq, a predicted model, not a curated record
CAAAAAAGAACAAAAAAAACAAUCAACUUAAAGAAAGCAAAUAAGCAGGGGAUGCUUUGGUAGACGGCCCGGAUACUUUCCCCCACCCCGAGCCCCCCAUCGAUUCUCGUCUCCCGACGACCCGCGCGGCGGCGCGCAUCUGGGGCUCCGCCGGCGGCCGGACUACAUGAGAGCAGGAGCAGGAGCUUCGGAGACGAGACGAGACGGGGCUGACGCGCCCAUGAGCUUCACGGCAGCAGCUUGAUUUCCUCCCCUGAAUUCCAGACUUGCGGGAUUAAAGUAAGCGACGCAGCAGCAUGUGUACCAGCGUGUUAGAGAGAAGGUGGCCGCCGCCGACGCAAGUACGAGCUUCAGCGCUUUGACAGCCUCCUACGACCCGCGUCGACAGUUACUUGAAAGAGAAAGGUGCACCAUGAUCUAAAAUCGAUUCUCCAUUAAAUCUUUUCUCUAGAUAAUUUGAGCUUAACUGUGAGAGAUGGGAUAACGUGCAGUAUCAAUCAUGUCGGGGAAGGGACAAAUUAGUUGUAUAUGUAAUGGAAACUCUCACCCAUCUACCAUCGGUGUAGCGUCCAGCACUGCAGGAAGGAGGAGAUGAUGCAUACAACAAGAAGGGAUCUGUGUGGUCUGUGAUGGUAGUGUCACGUAGCACUCAACAGCUAAUUGAAGCAGAGCGGGACAAGUGUAAUCCUUUCUGUUUGUUUGAAUUUUUUACAGAAAAAAUUGAUAGUAGUAACACCCUAAUAGUCGUGUGUCCGUUCAUGUUUUGCCCUGAAAACUAGACUGAGUGCAACAUUACUACUGCCAAUUAAUGUAAUUAACUUUUAGUGUCAUCUCCUAGAUUUUUUAUUUUUGUCAUUAGAUGAAUUCAGUUUCUCUGAUCUCCCCUUUUGCCAAGUUUGCAUUUAGCAAAACUGUUUUCUAACUGUUGGAAUUAGUGAAGGAUGGGAGUUCUAAACAUAACAGUAUGGCAUGCUAUCGAGCCUACGGUGUCUGCAACAAAGUGGGGUAGUAGGAUUUAUAUUACUAGAAGCAUAGAAGUAUUACUAAUAUAUUUUUGAUUUUUCAGGCUUGCUCUUGGUUCUAUUGUUCGCAAGGGUUCCUUGGUCAUGGCUCUGUUGUUCCAGAGGUAAUAAUUGACAAUGCAGAUAAUUUAAUUUCUCACC